UACGAGGGGUGCAAGCGUUAUUCGGAAUGACUGGGCGUAAAGGGUGUGUAGACGGCGUAUUAAGUCUUUUGUUAAAUACCUCAGCCUAACUGGGGGUCAGCGAAGGAAACUAAUUUGCUAGAGAUUGGAAGAGAGAAGUGGAAUUCUCGGAGUAGCGGUAAAAUGCGUAGAUCUCGAGAGGAACACCAAUGGCGAAGGCAGCUUCUUGGUCCAUAUCUGACGUUGAGACACGAAAGCGUGGGGAGCAAAC
This 250-nucleotide ribosomal RNA is filed under the name uncultured bacterium. RNAcentral's name for it is "partial 16S ribosomal RNA". It matches the Rfam family "Bacterial small subunit ribosomal RNA", at positions 524 to 773 of the family's 1533-position model. The record is from RNAcentral.